This 622-nucleotide ribosomal RNA is filed under the name uncultured Lachnospiraceae bacterium. RNAcentral describes it as "bacterial SSU rRNA". It matches the Rfam family "Bacterial small subunit ribosomal RNA", at positions 93 to 733 of the family's 1533-position model. The record is from RNAcentral. Lineage: Bacteria; Bacillati; Bacillota; Clostridia; Lachnospirales; Lachnospiraceae.
GAGUGGCGAACGGGUGAGUAACGCGUGAGGAACCUGCCUCAAAGAGUGGGACAACAGUUGGAAACGACUGCUAAUACCGCAUAAGCGCACAGUACCGCAUGGUACAGUGCGAAAAACUCCGGUGGUACAGGAUGGGCCCGCGUCUGAUUAGUUAGUUGGCGGGGUAACGGCCCACCAAGACGACGAUCAGUAGCCGGCUUGAGAGAGUGAACGGUCACAUUGGGACUGAGACACGGCCCAAACUCCUACGGGAGGCAGCAGUGGGGAAUAUUGCACAAUGGGGGAAACCCUGAUGCAGCAACGCCGCGUGAGUGAAGAAGUAUUUCGGUAUGUAAAGCUCUAUCAGCAGGGAAGAAAAUGACGGUACCUGACUAAGAAGCCCCGGCUAACUACGUGCCAGCAGCCGCGGUAAUACGUAGGGGGCAAGCGUUAUCCGGAUUUACUGGGUGUAAAGGGAGCGCAGGCGGUACGGCAAGUCAGAUGUGAAAACCCGGGGCUCAACCCCGGGACUGCAUUUGAAACUGUCGGACUAGAGUGCCGGAGAGGUAAGUGGAAUUCCUAGUGUAGCGGUGAAAUGCGUAGAUAUUAGGAGGAACACCAGUGGCGAAGGCGGCUUACUGGA